RNAcentral lists this ribosomal RNA (432 nucleotides) under uncultured bacterium. Its description in RNAcentral is "partial 16S ribosomal RNA". It matches the Rfam family "Bacterial small subunit ribosomal RNA", at positions 29 to 506 of the family's 1533-position model. The record is from RNAcentral.
AACGAACGCUGGCGGCAGGCCUAACACAUGCAAGUCGAGCGGACCCUUCGGGGUUAGCGGCGGACGGGUGAGUAACGCGUGGGAACGUGCCCUUUGCUUCGGAAUAGCCCUGGGAAACUGGGAGUAAUACCGGAUACGCCCUUUUGGGGAAAGAUUUAUCGGCGAAGGAUCGGCCCGCGUUGGAUUAGGUAGAUGGUGGGGUAAUGGCCUACCAAGCCGGCGAUCCAUAGCUGGUUUGAGAGGAUGAUCAGCCACACUGGGACUGAGACACGGCCCAGACUCCUACGGGAGGCAGCAGUGGGGAAUCUUAGACAAUGGGGGAAACCCUGAUCUAGCCAUGCCGCGUGAGCGAUGAAGGCCUUAGGGUUGUAAAGCUCUUUCACCGGGGAAGAUAAUGACGGUACCCGGAGAAGAAGCCCCGGCUAACUCCGU